AGCAGCCGCGGUAAUUCCAGCUCCAAUAGCGUAUAUUAAAGUUGUUGCAGUUAAAAAGCUCGUAGUUGAAUUUCGGGGUUCUACCGUUGGUCGGGCUUUGUCUGUACUGGCGUGUAGAAUUUCUACCUUCUGGGGAACUAUCAUGUUAUUAAUUUAGCGUGGUAGGAAACCAGGACCUUUACCUUGAAAAAAUUAGAGUGUUCAAAGCAGGCUUAUGUCUGAAUACAUUAGCAUGGAAUAAUAAAAUAGGACGGUGGUCCUGUUUUGUUGGUUUCUGAAUCACCGUAAUGAUUAAUAGGGAUAGUUGGGGGCAUUAGUAUUCAAUUGUCAGAGGUGAAAUUCUUGGAUUUAUUGAAGACUAACUACUGCGAAAGCAUUUGCCAAGGAUGUUUUCAUUAAUCAAGACGAAAGUUAGGGGAUCGAAGACGAUCAGAUACCGUCGUAGUCUUAACCAUAAACUAUGCCGACUAGGGAUCGGACGAUGUUAACUUUUCUGACUCGUUCGGCGCCUUACGGGAAC
Molecule: ribosomal RNA, 520 nt
Filed under: uncultured Scutellospora
Lineage: Eukaryota; Fungi; Glomeromycota; Glomeromycetes; Diversisporales; Gigasporaceae
Description: SSU rRNA
Rfam family: Eukaryotic small subunit ribosomal RNA
Source: RNAcentral